This 340-nucleotide RNase P RNA is filed under the name Neisseria meningitidis. RNAcentral describes it as "RNase P RNA component class A". It matches the Rfam family "Bacterial RNase P class A", at positions 1 to 291 of the family's 367-position model. Rfam says of the family: Ribonuclease P (RNase P) is a ubiquitous endoribonuclease, found in archaea, bacteria and eukarya as well as chloroplasts and mitochondria. Its best characterised activity is the generation of mature 5'-ends of tRNAs by cleaving the 5'-leader elements of precursor-tRNAs. Lineage: Bacteria; Pseudomonadati; Pseudomonadota; Betaproteobacteria; Neisseriales; Neisseriaceae. The record is from RNAcentral.
CGGGACGAGCAGACAGUCGCCGCGUAUCGCGUAAGGCAUACGGGGAGGAAAGUCCGGGCUCCGCAGGGUAGAAUGCCGGUUAACGGCCGGGCGCGGUAACGCGACGGAAAGUGGAACAGAAAGCAAAACCGCCGAUGGCUGCUUUGGCAGCACAGGCAAGGGUGAAAAGGUGCGGUAAGGGCGCACCGCGCAUUUGGUAACAAUAUGCGGCAGGCCAAACCCCAUUCGGAGCAAGACCAAACAGAACGCAAUGACGCUGCCCGCCGAGCGUCUGAAGCACCAAGUGAAUCGGUUCCGUACUGUUUGUACUGUCUGCGGCUUCGUCGCCUUGUCCUGAUUU